GCAGGAAAUGCAAAUUUUUCUAGUUGUGUGGAUGCUUUAAGGCAUCCACACUAUUGUUUUCCUGUUUCUCUUUAUUCUUUAUUAUUAUUGUGUGGAUGCUUUAGGCAUCCACACUAUUGCGUUCCUGUUUCUCUUUAUUGUGUGGAUGCCCUAAAAGGGCUUCCACACUAUUGAGUUCCUGUUUCUCUUUAUUGUGUGGAUGCUUUAAGGCAUCCACACUAUUGUUUUCCUGUUUCUCUUUAUUCUUUAUUAUUGUGUGGAUGCUGGAGGCAUCCACACUAUUGAGUUCCUGUUUCUCUUUAUUCUUUAUUGUGUGGAUGCCCUCAAAGGGCUUCCACACUAUUGAGUUCCUGUUUCUCUUUAUUCUUUAUUAUUGUGUGGAUGCCCUUAAAGGGCUUCCACACUAUUGAGUUCCUGUUUCUCUUUAUUGUGUGGAUGCCCUAAAGGGCUUCCACACAAUUGUUUUCCUGUUUCUCUUUAUUCUUUAUUGUUCUUUUUCAAGGCGAGGCGAAAGUAUACCUUGAACCCGGGCGGAACCCCCUCAGACAGCACUCAGACAGCACCAAUUAUUUUAUGCAGAAAAAGCUCUGCUUACCUUAUCUUAUGCGGCCGCUUGGUGCUCUCUGGGUGCGCAGAGUGGCAACAACGCCCAAGGUCCACGGCUGAUGCCUCCAACUCCUUGUCCCUUCGUCCGGUCGCCAAAUUGUAGUUGCCACAAUGGAGAGUAAUUCCUCAGAUUAGCAAUAGGUAGAUCUCAGCUUCCCAAUUCCAAUUAAAGUCAAAAACACAAAAAUUACAGGAGAGGAACAAAGUUCUAUGCCAGCUGUUUUAUUGAACAGUGUAGCUCAGCAAAACAGAGGGAAAAGCAAAGCUCCCCUAGGGUGUUCGCAGUAAGCGCAUGCAGGUAGGGACCGACCCCACGGACAGACAGCAGGAAAAAGCCCAGAGGGCUGUCCCCGGCCCCCUUUUAAAGGUACCAGUAGUCCCACCUCCUGCUGCUGAGUAACUUUCCCACGCACCCAGGAGCAGGUGCAGGGUCAAAUGCCGGCCAGAGUUCACACCGGGCGCUGGCUGAACGCCCGGUCCAAAAUGACACCCCUAGGUUAACCCUUUGCUUUACCCUCUGACAAUAGGUCACAACGUGGUCAAAGGUCACACAUUAGUACAGCAAAUAGCAUAGUUUAUAAAAGAUAAUUAUGAUAUUAAUGUGAAUAAUACUUGGCCUAACUACAUCAAAUAUAUGAGUUAAAUGCAUAACAUAAAAAUAAAACACUCCAGUGUAGGUUUAUAGUGUGUGUGUGUGUACAGGACAGUGAAGAUAUGCCUCAUGAGUGUGCUGCAUGACUUGUGGGUGUGUGUGUGUGUUUGUGUGGGUGUGUGUGUGUGUGUGAACCACUGCAUGCCUAAAACUCCACAUGAAAGUUAGAAUAUAUAUAUUCAGAUAGAUAUAUAGGUACAAAAAUCCAUCAUGUUAGAUUUAUAGGUAUACAUGUCAUACAAAAAUCCACUACAGUUGCGUG
Molecule: long non-coding RNA, 1520 nt
Filed under: Oreochromis niloticus (Nile tilapia)
Lineage: Eukaryota; Metazoa; Chordata; Actinopteri; Cichliformes; Cichlidae
Description: lncRNA (ENSONIG00000028236.1)
Source: RNAcentral